GUCUUGCCAUGUUACCAGAUGUUUUAUUUACCGAGUUUUUCUGGAAAGACUUUUAUUAUGAAAUUUGAAUCAGGUAGUAGAGGAAGUUAAAAGUUAGAAGUUGGGGUUGUGAGUAAAUCUUGUGUUAAUGUGUAAAUUGAUAUCAGGUGUUCUACUCACUUACUUAUUAAUGAUUUUUGAUCAUUCGUAGCCACUACAUAGCCUUGUAUUAUUUUCUUGAGUAAUUGUUGUUUAAUUAAUCAUACUUAACUAAAUGUUUCAGGCUCAUAAAAGCAGUCCUGUGAAACUUAAUAUAUAACACUGGCUCUUAAGAUAUAUUUAUAAUCGUUCUGUUUCCAUAUGAGGCCGUUUUUCAGCAGUAAAAUAUUAUGUGAUCUAUUAUAGAGACUUCUCAUAAGCCAGGUAAUAUUAUUUGUUUCUUAUGUGACGCUGUACUUCCUUGUUUCGGUUAACUGUAACACUUCUGUUAAUUCUGAGGAAGCAAAAAGGGUCUGUCCCUUCUGCUGCUGGCAGAGCAUGUUUAACCCCUAUAUAUACACCCUGCUCGCAUUCAAUAAACCAGGGAGCACAGACGAACAUCCUUGUGUGUGUGUGAUUCUUUGUUCUGUCCCUCGGGGUUGUUGUGGAAGGUUAGCCGAGGAAACUGAGUGCCAGAGACCGGGAUAAGUGAACCUGAGGUUUUAGCUCCAAAGCUUUAACCCUUUCAUGUUGGUUAUUAUAUUAGAUUAAUCUAAUCAAGGCUGCUGAGUUCAGUGCAGUUCUUGAAGAGUGAGACCAGAGCAGAGUCUGAUGAAGAGAAAAUGGAUAAUCUAAAAUUCUCCCCACCAAAGUGUCAUGUCUGUUUACACUGUGGGAGGAGUUUCUCCCAGAGUGGACACCUCAACGUACACCUGAAAAUUCAUACUGGAACAAAAAAGCACUGCUGCUCAGUCUGCAAGAAGAGCUUCAGGACUGCUAAUCAGCUCUCAGAGCACACACACACACAUGCUGAGCAGAAGCCCUAUCACUGCAGCCAGUGCGGGAAGGGAUUUAUAAGACCAGGCCGACUCAAAACUCACGAAAGAAUUCAUACUGGAGAAAAGCCACACCCCUGCACCAAGUGCAAGAAAAGCUUCAAAUCUACAGAAGAGCUAAAAAUCCACUUGCGCAUUCACACUGGACUUAAACUACACUUCUGCUUCUGGUGUGGAAAGGGAUUCAGUCGGAAUGAACAUUUAAAAAAGCACACGCUAAUUCAUACUGGAGAGAAACCACAUUCCUGCUCAGAGUGUGGGAAGAGGUUCUCUCGAGCUGACCACUUUAAAAAACACCAGGAGAUUCAUACAAAGAAUAGAGGAUCUGCUCAUAGUUUAAAAGACUUAUAAAUCCAUAAACACACAAACGUGAUGGAUUAGGAACUCACCAGGUUUCUUUUUUUUUUUUUUUCCUUUUUGUUAUUCAUUUGUUUUCUGCAAAAAUAUAUAUUCAAAUAUAUUGCAGGCUGAUGCUUUUCAAAAAGCUGGCUGACCUAAAGAAAACAUUCUUAUAUAAAUAAGUAGAGGAAUAAUAAACAAAUAAACGAAUAAACCAAAAGGGCAACGGACAUUUCAGCUCUAUUGUGCCUUAGACAUUCUGUUUUUAGUUGUUGCCAAUUUACCAAGUGUAAUAAAAUUACCUUGGUUUUGCUUUAUUUAUAUACUUGCUUUUACUUCUAUUCUGAAUACCUAAAUAAACACGCAUUAGAAACAA
Molecule: long non-coding RNA, 1728 nt
Organism: Astyanax mexicanus (Mexican tetra)
Lineage: Eukaryota; Metazoa; Chordata; Actinopteri; Characiformes; Acestrorhamphidae
Exons: 2
Source: RefSeq, a predicted model, not a curated record